Long non-coding RNA from Solea senegalensis (Senegalese sole), 1246 nucleotides. RefSeq lists it as uncharacterized. NCBI's taxonomy places the organism in Eukaryota, Metazoa, Chordata, Actinopteri, Pleuronectiformes, Soleidae. The transcript is spliced from 2 exons. The record is from RefSeq and is a predicted model, not a curated record.
UCGUACGGUUCACUUUGCUGCUCGUUUAGUUAUCAUUCUCCAGGGCUUGGCGUUGUGUUGUAGUGCGACUGGUCGGGUGCUGCUCCGUGCUCCCCGUGCCCGCUGCUAUAGGCCGGCGGUGGUAAUUGUCAUAUCUCUCUCUGGUCGUUGGUUGGCGCUGCUAGGUGGCUAAUGCUAGUGUGGUCACAGGUAGAUGCUCGCGGCUGCCUGGAGCCCUUGUUCUCUUCCUCCUCUCGUGAGUGUCUGUUGCUGCUCAAAUAAUUUAUUUGCUGUAGGCCAGUGGUCUGGUGGCAUCCUCCCGCCUUGUCUUGCUGUGUCCCUGGGAGCCCGGUGAUUGUGGUGUUUUUUCUGUGGUGGAUCCCUCCCCAGCCUUCCUCCAUUCACUUUAGCCUCAGCCCUGAUUAGGUUUUCCUCCCAUUUUUAUAUGUACAUGUAAUUUUUAUUAAAUAAAAAUUACAUGUUAACUUGGAACCACGUCUCCUGCCCUGUGAGUAACCUGAACCUUGUGCCUUUUUGUGUCCAACAGUAAUUCCCUGGGUGAAAUUCCCAGGGUGUUGUUGUCAAGCUUUUAAUAUUAGUUUCUUACCUUACCUCCUUUGCUCGCCACAGUUGGAAAAGAGAGUUUUACACAGAAAGGUAAUUUCAGAUUCAAAUAAAAACAUGAUAUUUUCUUCCAAAACAUGUUCGUUGCUGAAACCUCUGCUGCAUUAUUGAAUGCAGAGCUUCACUUAUUCAAAAUCUUUGCCAUGGUGCAGUAAGGGAUUACGUUUCCUACAACGCAUAUUUGCUGUUGCAGUUUGUUUAUAUUGAAAUGUAAAUUCCAGGAGUAGAGGCUGGAUGAUUGUUGGUUUUUGUCUUUGGUGGGAUAUGUCAUUGAUAAAACCCAAUUCACACUGGUCAAAUAACCUGUUUAAACCCAUGUUUAAAGAAGGUUUUUUUUACCAGUGGUAAGGAUUGCAAUGCAUGUUUUUAUUGGCUUCAUCUCUGAUCAGCAACAGUGGGAAUUAACACUAAAGACCUGGGUGAACGUGUUCAUUUCUUAAUUUCAGGCAGCACCGCAGAUUCCUCCGUCAUUUCCAGCGCCUUGCCAUGACACACAUUCAUUUUCUGUCUGUCAGUUCAGCCUUGACUGUUUGUGGUGUAUCCUACUUCAUAAGACUUUCAGUUGCGUUCAGUAUUUUUUGUUUUCAAUCAUAUCAUCUGAACAAUGUAUUGACAUAGGGGCCGAAAUAAAAGAUACAAAAUA